UGCGUAGGCGGCUUUUUAAGUCGGAUGUGAAAUCCCUGAGCUUAACUUAGGAAUUGCAUUCGAUACUGGGAAGCUAGAGUAUAGGAGAGGAUGGUAGAAUUCCAGGUGUAGCGGUGAAAUGCGUAGAGAUCUGGAGGAAUACCGAUGGCGAAGGCAGCCAUCUGGCCUAAUACUGACGCUGAGGUACGAAAGCAGUGGGGAGCGAACA
This 208-nucleotide ribosomal RNA is filed under the name uncultured bacterium. Its description in RNAcentral is "partial 16S ribosomal RNA". It matches the Rfam family "Bacterial small subunit ribosomal RNA", at positions 568 to 774 of the family's 1533-position model. The record is from RNAcentral.